UUGACAGCAAGAGUGAAAUCCUCUAUUUAUUCAAAGAACAGGUAUAGCACAAACAGCAGCUACAGUGCAACACUACCACACACACACACACACUUCACCCACCAGUACGAGUACCUGGGAGGGAUCAUUUCCAAGGUUAAAGGGGGAGUUCACCUUUCAAGACUCAUUCAAACAAAAGGAAGU
RNAcentral lists this small RNA (183 nucleotides) under Chrysemys picta bellii (western painted turtle). RNAcentral's name for it is "TUC338 (ENSCPBG00000011574.1)". The record is from RNAcentral. Lineage: Eukaryota; Metazoa; Chordata; Testudines; Emydidae.